This 277-nucleotide ribosomal RNA is filed under the name uncultured bacterium. Its description in RNAcentral is "partial 16S ribosomal RNA". It matches the Rfam family "Bacterial small subunit ribosomal RNA", at positions 334 to 605 of the family's 1533-position model. The record is from RNAcentral.
CAUCCUACGGGGGCAGCAGUAGGGAAUCUUCCACAAUGGACGAAAGUCUGAUGGAGCAACGCCGCGUGAGUGAAGAAGGGUUUCGGCUCGUAAAGCUCUGUUGGUAGUGAAGAAAGAUAGAGGUAGUAACUGGCCUUUAUUUGACGGUAAUUACUUAGAAAGUCACGGCUAACUACGUGCCAGCAGCCGCGGUAAUACGUAGGUGGCAAGCGUUGUCCGGAUUUAUUGGGCGUAAAGCGAGUGCAGGCGGGGUAAAAAAUCUGAUGUGGAAACCCUC